ACAUCCACGAAGCUUCUAACUCUCUCUAUGCUGCUCUCAUUAAUUAUUAGAGGGUCUCCAUGGCCCAUAAAAAGACUUGUUUUACAAAUUCCCAGUCCUUACACAUACUCCCCGGCCAGCACUGAAUUACUAUCGCGCGCCCACCUCAUCUUCAAUCUGGGAUCGAGCUCGUCUUCCUCCGUGGAUCUAGAACAUGAUCAGCUGUGCUAGAGAGAGCAUUUACGUUGACAAAAAUGGUGGGGCAGCUUCUUAAAAGGCUUGUGGGUUUAAUAGAUGAGAUGCUUCAACUUUAGGGGACCAAGCAUCAAAUGAUCAUGUACCUUGUGAAAAUCUUCUGGUAACUAAAGCGAAAGAUGCCUAAACGCCUUUUCACCUCAUCAAUGAUCCACACGAUGACACCUCUAUCAAAUAUUCUUUACCAAUUAUUAUAUGCUCUCUGUGUUCCAUAAUCCAUGGAGAGCCCCUACGAGACCACAGGGAAAGGGGGGAUAAAGCCAGUUCCUCAGUACUAGAUAAGAGGUAGAUUCCGCAAGAAAUAACCACUAGCUCGAGGCGCAACUGAAUUGGGUUCCUGUCUGAACAAAGCACAUGCCCAGCACCCUUUAUAAUGUAAUGUUUUUAACUAAAAGCGUUGUUUAUAUUUACAAGAAGAACUAUAUAUAAUUGUUAAAGCAUGUACAAAAAACAAUAUGCUUAUAUUUUAUGUGAUUGGAAG
Molecule: long non-coding RNA, 715 nt
Filed under: Populus trichocarpa (black cottonwood)
Lineage: Eukaryota; Viridiplantae; Streptophyta; Magnoliopsida; Malpighiales; Salicaceae
Description: long non-coding RNA (PTRI_LNC000274)
Source: RNAcentral